Molecule: non-coding RNA, 622 nt
Organism: Carica papaya (papaya)
Lineage: Eukaryota; Viridiplantae; Streptophyta; Magnoliopsida; Brassicales; Caricaceae
Source: RefSeq, a predicted model, not a curated record
CGUGGUGGGGAUCCUCUCAUUCUUUGUUUUGUCGAUUUUGCUAGUCCAGCAUGUGCAGCAACUGCAAUGAGUGCUUUGCAAGGCUAUAAAAUGGAUGAAUAUGAUCCAGAUUCCAAGUACUUGAGGCUGCAGUUCUCUCGGUAUCCAGGUCCAAGGUCUAGUUCUGGAACACGCAGUAGGAGAUGAAUAAUCUGACUGUGAAGCUAGGUAGAACUCCAACAGUUUGUAGGACACACCCGCAAGCCGUUCACGUUUGGACAGGAUGCUAUAUUUAGGCUGUUGCCUGUCCUGGGUAAGAGCAAUAGAAAUGCAGAGUAUUUAGGUGAUAAGGCCAAAGAAAAUUAAAAUCAUCAGAGAUCCUUGAACUUGACACGAUCUUACAGUUCCCAAUUCUAUAAAGCUGUGUUGUACAAUAUCAUUUGCAAGUGAUUUUUAUUUAAUAUUUGGAUAAAUUAACACUUCAAUACCAUGUAGUUUAGGACUUUGUAGAUUCAAUACAUGAUAUGUCUUUUUUUCAGUGCCGAUGCUUGAGCGUAUCCUUGAACAGUAGAACACUUGGUUUAAAUCCGGAGUAUUACAAUAUGUAGAUGAUUGAUAUUAAAUUUUCGAUAUUUAGAAUGAA